UGGGGAAUAUUGCACAAUGGGGGAAACCCUGAUGCAGCGACGCCGCGUGAGCGAAGAAGGUUUUCGAAUCGUAAAGCUCUGUCCUAUGAGAAGAUAAUGACGGUAUCAUAGGAGGAAGCCCCGGCUAAAUACGUGCCAGCAGCCGCGGUAAUACGUAUGGGGCGAGCGUUGUCCGGAAUUAUUGGGCGUAAAGGGUACGUAGGCGGUCUAUUAAGUCAGGUGUGAAAGCGUGAGGCUUAACCUCAUUAAGCACUUGAAACUGAUAGACUUGAGUGAAGGAGAGGAAAGUGGAAUUCCUAGUGUAGCGGUGAAAUGCGUAGAUAUUAGGAGGAAUACCGGUGGCGAAGGCGACUUUCUGGCCAUAUACUGACGCUGAGGUACGAAAGCGUGGGUAGCAAACAGG
Molecule: ribosomal RNA, 403 nt
Filed under: Verrucomicrobiota bacterium
Lineage: Bacteria; Pseudomonadati; Verrucomicrobiota
Description: Verrucomicrobia bacterium partial 16S ribosomal RNA
Rfam family: Bacterial small subunit ribosomal RNA
Source: RNAcentral